GACGAACGCUGGCGGCGUGCUUAACACAUGCAAGUCGAACGGAAAGGUCCUGCUUUUGUGGGGUGCUCGAGUGGCGAACGGGUGAGUAACACGUGAGUAACCUGCCCUUGACUUUGGGAUAACUUCAGGAAACUGGGGCUAAUACCGGAUAGGAGCUCCUGCUGCAUGGUGGGGGUUGGAAAGUUUCGGCGGUUGGGGAUGGACUCGCGGCUUAUCAGCUUGUUGGUGGGGUAGUGGCUUACCAAGGCUUUGACGGGUAGCCGGCCUGAGAGGGUGACCGGCCACAUUGGGACUGAGAUACGGCCCAGACUCCUACGGGAGGCAACAGUGGGGAAUAUUGCACAAUGGGCGGAAGCCUGAUGCAGCAACGCCGCGUGCGGGAUGACGGCCUUCGGGUGGUAAACCGCUUUCGCCUGUGACGAAGCGUGAGUGACGGUAAUGGGUAAAGAAGCACCGGCUAACUACGU
RNAcentral lists this ribosomal RNA (467 nucleotides) under uncultured bacterium. Its description in RNAcentral is "partial 16S ribosomal RNA". It matches the Rfam family "Bacterial small subunit ribosomal RNA", at positions 28 to 506 of the family's 1533-position model. The record is from RNAcentral.